UACCAGCUCCGCGAGUGGUCGGGACGAUUAUUGGGCCUAAAGCGUCCGUAGCCGGCCUAUCAAGUCUCUGGUUAAACCUCAAGGCUCAACCUUGAGAUUGCUGGAGAUACUGUUAGGCUAGGGGGCGGGAGAGGUUGAGGGUACUACGCGGGUAGGGGCGAAAUCCUAUAAUCCGCGUAGGACCACCAGUGGCGAAGGCGCUCAACUGGAACGCGCCCGACGGUGAGGGACGAAAGCCAGGGGAG
Molecule: ribosomal RNA, 245 nt
Filed under: uncultured Desulfurococcales archaeon
Lineage: Archaea; Thermoproteati; Thermoproteota; Thermoprotei; Desulfurococcales
Description: partial 16S ribosomal RNA
Rfam family: Archaeal small subunit ribosomal RNA
Source: RNAcentral